Molecule: non-coding RNA, 449 nt
Organism: Cinara cedri
Lineage: Eukaryota; Metazoa; Arthropoda; Insecta; Hemiptera; Aphididae
Source: the annotation of a GenBank genome assembly
UCUAAUAAUCAUCCAGUCUUAACAUAGACUUAGGCUCCGACUAACCAUGUCCAACUGUUAAACUUAUAUAGUGCGAUUGUCGUGUUUUAUUUUAUUCAGUUUUGUUUUGUUCUUUUAAAUAGUUUUCCUUACUUUAAAUUAUUGUAAACUGUAUACAUAAUUGAAAAUUCACGUUGCGUAUAUUUUUUCAUAUUCAGAACUUUGCUACUCAAAGACGUAUUCCCGUUCGCGGCAGGUAAGCCGGUAAUUAUAUCAUACACUCAUGACCCCGGUUGUACUUCCUCUAAUAGAAAAAGGUAUUGCCAUAAAAAGGGGAAAUUCGCCAUUCACAUCCGAAUAGGCACCUACCUAUUGACUCCCCCUUUUUAGGUCUUUACAAGUUUAUAUAGACUAACUUUAAAUAUCUAUGUUUUUCGUUGGAAAGAAAGAUAUUUUCAUUCUGAGCGAAG